GCCAUGGGCCACUUCACAUCCAGGGGAAGGGGAUCGGCGUAGAGAGGGAAAGGGUCGCCUGCGAAGGAACCCCCCGGGAGGAAGAUGAGUCAAGCCGCCCAGGGGUCAUUCUCUGGACGGCCAGCAAGCCUCUGGGCAGGAGAGUGCAACUUCAUACUUUGCGUCACCGCACGACAAAGCCCUUGAGAGGCUGGGAGAAGCAAUUAGGAAAAAAAUGUCUAAAGAAGUUCCUCUGGGUACAAAACAACAAGAAAGACUGACAAAUACUGCUCCAGCAUAUCUGAAGAAGGGGGCUGGGAUGUCUCGGGACAUUCCAAUAUCUAGUUGUGGCCUCACACUCUUUACUCAGCUGCAUGCAUCCUUGGACCCAGCUCCUGGUCACCACCUGGAUUCGACGACCACUGACUCCCUCCCGGCAAGCACUCCAUCAUUGUAGCCUUCUCUAGUAAAUACUGGUAGCUCUCUUGUUUUUACUUACCUAUGGAUCUGCCUUCUAGGUAAACACUUGCCUUCUGUCAUAUCGUGGAAAUCUAGAAUGGCUUGAUGACCCCACUCUUACCCUGUGGAUAUCCCCCAACUCCCCACUCCCAGUGAUCUGGGUCACCUUAUUUCCUUUCCCCCAAAACAUGAAACAAAGCAAUGCCAUGUUCCUAUCAUCAUUCAUCAUUCUUGAAGGAGUUGCCCUCUGCUCUUUACCAUGUUGGAAAGCCACUAGAAAACUCACAUUUGACAACGAAUGAACUGUGCUAAGGAUAAAGACAUCACUUUUCCAAGAGUGCCUGCAUAUUAAUGAGAGCUUGAUCCUCAAAGAAAGCUCUCCACUGAUGAAAUUUUAGGAACUUAUGAUGAGUUUCAGGGAGGAUCUGAAUGGCAGAGAUGCUCUGAGAUGAAAAGGCAUUCCUAGUCUUCUUCAAUCACCCCAAAACACGGUAGCUUUUGGCCCACCCACAUCUAAGACUCACCCUGGGAUGAGAGAUCCAAUUCUGGGUUGAAUCACUGCUUCCAAACCCAAGAAUGCCCUUGGGUUUAGCAAAAGCCCUGGAGAAUCUAAUGACUGCUAACAGCCCAAUUACUGUACCUGUCUUCGUGAUAUUUUUUGGUGUACUCAACUC
Long non-coding RNA from Camelus dromedarius (Arabian camel), 1112 nucleotides. RefSeq lists it as uncharacterized. The transcript has 3 exons. The record is from RefSeq and is a predicted model, not a curated record. NCBI's taxonomy places the organism in Eukaryota, Metazoa, Chordata, Mammalia, Artiodactyla, Camelidae.